GAUGAACGCUGGCGGCGUGCCUAAUACAUGCAAGUCGAGCGAACGGACGAGACGCUUGCUUUUCUGAUGUUAGCGGCGGACGGGUGAGUAACACGUGGAUACCCUACCUAUAAGUCUGGGAUCAUCUCGGGACACCGGCGCUAAUACCGGAUAAUCUUUUGAACCGCAUGGUUCAAAAGUGAAAUUCGGUCUUGCUGUCACUUCUCGAUGGAUCCGCGCUGCAUUAGCUAGUUGGUAAGGUAACGGCUUACCACGGCUACGAUGCAUAGCCGACGUGAUAGGGUGAUCGGCCACACUGGAACGGAGACACGGUCCAGGCGCCUACGGUAGGCAGCAGUAGGGUAUGUUCCGCAAUAGGCGGAAGCCUUACGGAGCGACGCCGCGUGAGAGAUGAAAGUCUUCGGAGCGUAAUACUCUGUUAUUAGUGGAAAACAGAUGUGUAAGGAACUGAAGACAUCGUGACGGUACCUAAUCAGGAAGCCACGGCUAACUACGUG
This 497-nucleotide ribosomal RNA is filed under the name uncultured bacterium. RNAcentral's name for it is "partial 16S ribosomal RNA". It matches the Rfam family "Bacterial small subunit ribosomal RNA", at positions 28 to 507 of the family's 1533-position model. The record is from RNAcentral.